AUGCCAUGGCUGUCACUCACUCGUCACCGGAUCCGGCGUGUGAAUCAGCUUCCCCACGGUAAACCCGCCGUCGACGACGAGGUUGUGCCCGUUGACAUACCUGGCCUCGUCGGACGCCAGGUACAGGGCCGCCCGCGCGAUGUCCUCCACCUCCAGCACCAUCCCACCCAUCUCGUUCAUGCCCGACUCCACCAUUCGCCUCAGCUCCUCCUCGCUCGCCUCCGGGAGCAGCUCCGCCAGCCCGCGCAGCCCGAACGGCGUCGCGAUGCCAUGCGGCGAGAUGGCGUUCACGCGCAAGCCGUGCCUCCCCAGCUCCCCGGCCAACGCCCGGACGGCGCCGAUCACGGCCGCCUUGGAGAUGCAGUACGCGGGGUUCACGCCGCCGAGCACCCCCGCCGUGCUCGCCGUGCAGAUGAUGCACCCGCUCCGGCGCGGCACCAUCACGCGCGCAGCGUGCUUGAUCCCGGCGACGGCAGACCGCGCGUUGGCUGCCAUGGUGCGGUCGAAGUCGGCGAGGUCGAGGGACGCGAUGGAGUCCAUGCUCAUCUUCCCCGCGAUCCCGGCGUGGUUGUGCAGGACGUCGAGCCGGCCGUGGCGCGCCACCGCGAGGUCGACGGCCGCGGCGAUCUGCGCCUCGUCGGUCACGUCGCAGCGGGCGUAGGAGGCGUCGGGGCCGAGCUCGGCGGCGACUGCGCGGCCGAGGUCGUCCUGGAUGUCGGUGAGGAUGACCUUGGCGCCGUUCCUGACGAACUCCGCGGCGGUCGCCUUGCCCAUGCCGCUGGCGGCCCCGGUGAUGACGGACACCUUCCCGGCCAGCCUGCCCCGCAGCAAACACACUUAAGUGCGGCCUCUAGCCAUGGGCGACGCCACGGCAUGGCACAAACGAGAACCAAGAAGAGAAAACAAAGAUUCCACGGCAUGGCAGGCAUGGCAUGCACCUCUGGGAACUCGGGGCCGUGGAGAAGCGAGCGAGGCCGACGCCGGACGGGAUCGCCGCCGGGGCAGCGCUCAUCUUACCCCUGCAUUCCCAACCACAUCAGUUCGGGAGGCACGAAAGCUCUGGUGUUCUUCCAAGAGGCAGAGAUUCAGUAUGCAGUUUAUUUGCAAAAAUACUAUUACCUCAGAAGAAGGUGGUGCGCCAUUGCUCUAAACAUCUUGAGUAGAUUAUUCUAG
This 1173-nucleotide ribosomal RNA is filed under the name Triticum aestivum (bread wheat). RNAcentral's name for it is "partial small subunit ribosomal RNA". Lineage: Eukaryota; Viridiplantae; Streptophyta; Magnoliopsida; Poales; Poaceae. The record is from RNAcentral.